Molecule: ribosomal RNA, 426 nt
Filed under: uncultured bacterium
Lineage: Bacteria
Description: bacterial SSU rRNA
Rfam family: Bacterial small subunit ribosomal RNA
Source: RNAcentral
AACGAACGCUGGCGGCAGGCUUAACACAUGCAAGUCGAGCGCCCCGCAAGGGGAGCGGCAGGCGGGUGAGUAACGCGUGGGAACAUACCCUUUAGUACGGAAUAGCCUCGGGAAACUGGGAUUAAUACCGUAUACGCCUACGGGGAAGAUUAUCGCUAAGAUGGCCGCGUUGGAUUAGCUAGUUGGUGAGGUAAUGGCUCACCAAGGCGACGAUCUAUAGCUGGUCUGAGAGGAUGAUCAGCCACACUGGGACUGAGACACGGCCCAGACUCCUACGGGAGGCAGCAGUGGGGAAGUAUUGGACAAUGGGCGGAAAGACCUGAUCCAGCCAUGCCGCGUGAGUGAUGAAGGCCCUAGGGUUGUAAAGCUCUUUCAGUGGGGACGAUAAUGACGGUACCCACAGAAGAAGCCCCGGCUAACUUCGUG